RNAcentral lists this ribosomal RNA (600 nucleotides) under Enterococcus avium. Its description in RNAcentral is "bacterial SSU rRNA". It matches the Rfam family "Bacterial small subunit ribosomal RNA", at positions 37 to 614 of the family's 1533-position model. Lineage: Bacteria; Bacillati; Bacillota; Bacilli; Lactobacillales; Enterococcaceae. The record is from RNAcentral.
UGGCGGGUGCUAUAAUGCAGUCGAACGCUUUUUCUUUCACCGGAGCUUGCUCCACCGAAAGAAAAGGAGUGGCGAACGGGUGAGUAACACGUGGGUAACCUGCCCAUCAGAAGGGGAUAACACUUGGAAACAGGUGCUAAUACCGUAUAACAAUCGAAACCGCAUGGUUUCGGUUUGAAAGGCGCUUUUGCGUCACUGAUGGAUGGACCCGCGGUGCAUUAGCUAGUUGGUGAGGUAACGGCUCACCAAGGCAACGAUGCAUAGCCGACCUGAGAGGGUGAUCGGCCACAUUGGGACUGAGACACGGCCCAAACUCCUACGGGAGGCAGCAGUAGGGAAUCUUCGGCAAUGGACGCAAGUCUGACCGAGCAACGCCGCGUGAGUGAAGAAGGUUUUCGGAUCGUAAAACUCUGUUGUUAGAGAAGAACAAGGAUGAGAGUAAAAUGUUCAUCCCUUGACGGUAUCUAACCAGAAAGCCACGGCUAACUACGUGCCAGCAGCCGCGGUAAUACGUAGGUGGCAAGCGUUGUCCGGAUUUAUUGGGCGUAAAGCGAGCGCAGGCGGUUUCUUAAGUCUGAUGUGAAAGCCCCCGGCUCAACC